This 659-nucleotide long non-coding RNA is filed under the name Sinocyclocheilus grahami. Its description in RNAcentral is "lncRNA (ENSSGRG00000033071.1)". The record is from RNAcentral. Lineage: Eukaryota; Metazoa; Chordata; Actinopteri; Cypriniformes; Cyprinidae.
UCCAGCUCCUAUUGGCUCAGUGGAAGUGUCAAUCAUCUGCUCCUCCAGUGGGGUGAUGAGGGUGUCCUGCUCCUCUGAGGGGGAUCAGCUCCUCUACAGCUGGACUCUGAAUGGAGGUCCACUGAUGGAUGGAAACAGCAGCAUUGAUCUGGAUGAGGGAACUGAUGGAGACAUCAGCUGCAGCGUGAAGAACCACGUCAGUCACGCACAGAAGACCACUAGAGUCCAACCCUGUGCUGUGUCUGUGGUGUUUGUGCUGGUCUGGUGUCUUCAGCUGAUGGUUCUGUUGGGUCUGUUAGGAGGUUUUCACAUCUACAUGAGACACACGUCAGGAAAGAAGCAGGAAGAUCAGAAAGUGAGGAUGAGAAGAUUUAGAGAAGGACCUGAACACACAGCAGAAGAUUCAUGAGAGCAGCAGCAGAUCAUCACAUCUAUGAGAAAUAACUUCAUAAUCUCAACUUCAAAGAUUCUCACAUAAAUCCAGGUUUCAGCUUUCGAUUAAAACCAGGAGACAGAAGAAGCUUUAAUAAUCGAUACUGAUCUUUACAUGUGUUGUGUUUAUUUCUUGUAGAGUAUGUUGAUGUAUUUCUGUGAGCAUUAUUUCUGUCAGGUCUGAAUCGGCUGCUCGUGAAAUCACCAUUUAAACUCAUUUAGAGGCA